GCAAAGAGUUUCCUUCUUCUGUUGCUACCCUGCAAGACAGCUCCGACUGAAAGUAUGGCAGUUUGCUGGAAAAAGCAGAAGUAUGAGGCCCCUCUGAGUCAGCAAAGGCAACUCCGUUGUAAAAGCAAUACAGAGGAGUGACAGCUUGCUUACAAGAGUGUUCCCACCUUACUUUUGGCAGAGCUACACUAACAUCAGAAACCGUGAGAAUUUGGAAGAAGGGAAAAACUAUGCAAAUACUACCAAGUGGUAACUAAUUCUUGUUUUGGGAAUAUGUUGAGUGUCUGGUCCUAAAACUGGGAUUCACAAAGGAGUGAGGAGGCAGAAAACACCUACGUGUCUAAAGAAGCUGACAAGUACUCAUUGAGUUUCUCAGAGAUAUCUGAGCAAUUUGGAUCUGUAACUCCCCUGGAUUUAAACAUGAAUCUAAAUGCACGUAAAACACCUUUCACAACUUCAUCAGGCU
This 466-nucleotide long non-coding RNA is filed under the name Gallus gallus (chicken). RNAcentral describes it as "long non-coding RNA NONGGAT002384". Lineage: Eukaryota; Metazoa; Chordata; Aves; Galliformes; Phasianidae. The record is from RNAcentral.